GUAGGCUACGGGGACAUGGUACCUAAGACAUACGUAGGCAUGCUGGUUGGUGCACUAUGCGCCCUUGCUGGCGUGCUCACUAUUGGUCUGCCUGUUCCCGUUAUCGUUAGCAAC
Tropilaelaps mercedesae is the source of this 114-nucleotide regulatory RNA element. It matches the Rfam family "Potassium channel RNA editing signal". From Rfam's summary of the family: This family represents a group of sequences related to the human potassium channel Kv1.1 hairpin element which directs the efficient modification of an adenosine to inosine by an adenosine deaminase acting on RNA (ADAR). The ADAR modification causes an isoleucine/valine recoding event which lies in the ion-conducting pore of the potassium channel. Lineage: Eukaryota; Metazoa; Arthropoda; Arachnida; Mesostigmata; Laelapidae. The record is from Rfam.